This is a non-coding RNA of Salmo salar (Atlantic salmon), 54 nucleotides long. The record is from Rfam. Lineage: Eukaryota; Metazoa; Chordata; Actinopteri; Salmoniformes; Salmonidae.
AAAAUGUAUGAGUGUAAGUCGCUUUGGAUAAAAGUGUCUGCUAAAUGGCAUAUG